This 490-nucleotide ribosomal RNA is filed under the name Staphylococcus hominis. Its description in RNAcentral is "bacterial SSU rRNA". Lineage: Bacteria; Bacillati; Bacillota; Bacilli; Caryophanales; Staphylococcaceae. The record is from RNAcentral.
AACGCUGGCGGCGUGCCUAAUACAUGCAAGUCGAGCGAACAGAYGAGGAGCUUGCUCCUUUGACGUUAGCGGCGGACGGGUGAGUAACACGUGGGUAACCUACCUAUAAGACUGGGAUAACUUCGGGAAACCGGAGCUAAUACCGGAUAAUAUUUCGAACCGCAUGGUUCGAUAGUGAAAGAUGGCUYUGCUAUCACUUAUAGAUGGACCUGCGCCGUAUUAGCUAGUUGGUAAGGUAACGGCUUACCAAGGCAACGAUACGUAGCCGACCUGAGAGGGUGAUCGGCCACACUGGAACUGAGACACGGUCCAGACUCCUACGGGAGGCAGCAGUAGGGAAUCUUCCGCAAUGGGCGAAAGCCUGACGGAGCAACGCCGCGUGAGUGAUGAAGGUCUUCGGAUCGUAAAACUCUGUUAUUAGGGAAGAACAAACGUGUAAGUAACUGUGCACGUCUUGACGGUACCUAAUCAGAAAGCCACGGCUAACUAC